RNAcentral lists this ribosomal RNA (253 nucleotides) under uncultured prokaryote. Its description in RNAcentral is "partial 16S ribosomal RNA". It matches the Rfam family "Bacterial small subunit ribosomal RNA", at positions 524 to 776 of the family's 1533-position model. The record is from RNAcentral.
UACGAAGGGGGCUAGCGUUGCUCGGAAUGACUGGGCGUAAAGGGUGCGUAGGCGGUUUGGACAGUUGGGUGUGAAAUUCCCGGGCUUAACCCGGGGACUGCGCUCGAUACAUCCAGGCUUGAGUGAGGAAGAGGGUCGUGGAAUUCCCAGUGUAGAGGUGAAAUUCGUAGAUAUUGGGAAGAACACCGGUGGCGAAGGCGGCUCACUGGCUCAUUACUGACGCUCAGGCGCGACAGCGUGGGGAUCAAACAGG